This 335-nucleotide unclassified non-coding RNA is filed under the name soil metagenome. RNAcentral describes it as "partial contains 5.8S ribosomal RNA, internal transcribed spacer 2, and large subunit ribosomal RNA". The stretch from base 1 to 120 matches the Rfam family "5.8S ribosomal RNA", at positions 35 to 154 of the family's 154-position model. The record is from RNAcentral.
GAUGAAGAACGCAGUGAAAUGCGAUACGUAGUGUGAAUUGCAGAAUUCAGUGAAUCAUCGAAUCUUUGAACGCACAUUGCACCUCUCGGUAUUCCGGGAGGUAUGCCUGUUCGAGCGUCAUUUGUACCCUCAAGCUCUGCUUGGUGUUGGGUGUUUGUUCCGCCUCUGUGUGUGAACUCGCCUCAAAACAAUUGGCAGCCGGCGUACUUGUUUCGGAGCGCAGCACAUUUUGCGAUCCAGAUCAACGUACAGCGGCAUCCAAGAAGCCUUAUUUAACGCUCUUGACCUCGGAUCAGGUAGGGAUACCCGCUGAACUUAAGCAUAUCAAUAGAGGA